GAAGUGCGAUAAGUAAUGUGACUUGCAGAAUACCGUGAAUCAUCGAAUCUUUGAACGCAUAUUGCACUCUCAGGUAUUCCGGAGAGUAUGCCUGUUUGAGGGUCAGCUAAAAAAAAUCAAGCGUUAUUGCUUUUUUGUGAUGACGUUUGGAAUUGAGUCGUCUUAACCUCACGGUCAAGUGACUUAAAAUUUUUUAAUGUGAUUUUCGAAACGUAUUUAAUAUUUUACGUACGUUUGCGAUAUCAAUCUAUUAGAUGUGGUCAUUUCCAUGAUUCUCGCGUCUAUAGUUUUUCAUUAAAUGACCUCAAAUCAGGUAAGAGUACCCGCUGAACUUAAGC
This 338-nucleotide unclassified non-coding RNA is filed under the name plant metagenome. RNAcentral's name for it is "partial contains 5.8S ribosomal RNA, internal transcribed spacer 2, and large subunit ribosomal RNA". The stretch from base 1 to 105 matches the Rfam family "5.8S ribosomal RNA", at positions 50 to 154 of the family's 154-position model. The record is from RNAcentral.